RNA transcript from Solea solea (common sole), 1954 nucleotides. It is a transcript of the gene named purinergic receptor P2X, ligand-gated ion channel, 1, with no coding region annotated. The record is from RefSeq and is a predicted model, not a curated record. The transcript is spliced from 14 exons. Lineage: Eukaryota; Metazoa; Chordata; Actinopteri; Pleuronectiformes; Soleidae.
CAGAGGCGAACCAGGACGAGUGUCGAGGAAGUGGAGUUUGUAUGCAAGUGGGGUGAAGAAAAGAAAAAGAGAGAGAGAGAGACCCUCCUCUCUGUGGGACAACUCAUGAGAGAAGAUGAAGAACCACAUCACCAACGCCAUCUCUGACUUCUUCUUUGAGUACGAGACCCCGCGCCAGGUAUUGGUCAGGAACAGGAGGGUGGGAGUGGUGUGUCGUAUCAUCCAGCUGGGUGUCCUGGCGUACAUUAUUGGGUGGGUUUUCAUCUACGAGAAAGGCUACCAGUCCACGGACACGGCAAUAAGCUCCGUCUUCACCAAAAUGAAAGGCGUGGGCUACACCAGCGUGAAUGGGAACGAGAGAGUCUGGGACGUGGCCGACUACGUCUUCCCACCGCAGGGAGACUCGUCUUUUGUGGUGAUGACAAACUACAUCAUAACUGAGGGCCAGAAUAUGGGAAAGUGUCCCGAGCUGAAAGGCAAACACAACUGCAGCUCGGAUGCCGACUGUGAAGGAGGGAGUUACAAACGUACGGGACAUGGGGAAAUGACGGGAAUCUGCGUGAAUGCCACAAAGACCUGUGAGGUGCUGGCUUGGUGUCCCAUUGAGGACGAUCACGUCAUACCGUACCCUCCUAUGUUGAUGUCUGCGGAGAACUACACCCUGUUCAUCAAAAAUUCUAUCACUUUCCCCUUAUUUGGCGUCACCCGGAGUAACCUGGUGGAAGGCGUUGAUGCAUCAUACAUCAGUAAAUGUCUUUACCAUCCAGAGAAUGCUCCUCUGUGUCCAAUAUUCAAACUGGGAGACAUAGUGAAACUCUCUGGCUUUAACUUUGAAACCAUCGCCCAAGUGGGAGGGGCCAUUGGCAUUGAGAUCGACUGGACGUGUAACCUCGACGUGAACGUCAAACACUGUAAACCACAGUACAACUUCCACGGUCUCUAUGGGAACCCUGAUGAGACGGACAAGGCCAGAGCAUCAGUGGGCUACAACUUCAGGUAUGCAAAGCAUUAUUUGGAGAACAAAACUGAGAAGAGGACCCUUCUCAAAGUGUUUGGGAUCAGACUGGACAUUAUUGUUCAAUCCCUGGCAAGAAAAUUUGAUAUCAUCCCAACAUUGACUGCUAUAGGCUCUGGAGUGGGCAUUUUUGGAGUGGCCACUGUGGUGUGUGACUUGAUGUUGCUCUAUUUGCUGCCAAAAAGAGAAUUUUACAAGAAUAUGAAAUUCAAACAUACAGAUUCACAUAUACAGAACUAUGUAAGGCACUGAUCAGUCCAAAAAUCCUGAUUCGGAGGCAGGCAGCAUAGAGACAGAUCUAUCUCAAAAGUGACUGACGGGCGAACUUUCAAGCGAGUGGGCCUGUUGUUGUUUUCCAAGCACACUGCACUGGACACACAAACACACUGUAAGUGGACUGGGACUGAAAAGGACGACAUCCAAUGACCUUGCUGCAGAUGACCUGCGUUUCCUUUUGUGAUCUCCAGCAGCAUCUCUGUGUGUACUGCCAUCCUGAAAGACUUAAGACUUUUGCAAUUGAUGGCAUCGCUCAGCUGUGUGUGCAUUUUCUUCUUUUUUCUUUUUUUUUUUUGGGCGUAGCUUGGUUUGCUUUUGUUGAUGCACCGGGUGUAACCUGCACUCGACAUCCGUCCAAGUGUGUGUGUGUGUGUGUGACAAGACACUCCCAUGUACCUGUGUGAGCACACGAAUCACCCCACAGUCAGUCAUUACCUCCGUCACUGUCUUUCUUUGACACAUGAAGUGUGGACGUGCCGCCCAAGAGUGAUUCACCCGCUGUGUGUGCACCUUGUGAUCCACUGUUACUGAACUGCAAUAAAAGAUGUACAGGGAUGCCCCAACCCCCCCCCCGCUUUUUCUUUUGCCUCGUGGUGCAAGCAGUCAAACAGGUAAAACUGACUAAAUAAAUAACUAACUAAAUAAAUAAAGGUUUUAACUUUG